Molecule: ribosomal RNA, 482 nt
Filed under: uncultured Myxococcales bacterium
Lineage: Bacteria; Pseudomonadati; Myxococcota; Myxococcia; Myxococcales
Description: bacterial SSU rRNA
Rfam family: Bacterial small subunit ribosomal RNA
Source: RNAcentral
AACGAACGUUAGCGGCGCGCUUAAUACAUGCAAGUCGUGCGAGAAAGGGCUUCGGCCCCAGUAAAGCGGCGCACGGGUGAGUAACACGUGGGUACGUACCCCUGGGUGGUGGAUAACUCUCCGAAAGGAGGGCUAAUACAGCAUGAAACCACUUGUGGUCAAAGUGGGCCUCUCAAUUGAAGCUCGCGCCUGGGGAUCGGCUCGCGGCCCAUCAGCUUGUUGGUAGGGUAAUGGCUUACCAAGGCUAAGACGGGUAGCUGGUCUGAGAGGAUGAGCAGCCACACUGGAACUGAGACACGGUCCAGACUCCUACGGGAGGCAGCAGUAGGGAAUCUUGCGCAAUGGGCGAAAGCCUGACGCAGCGACGCCGCGUGAGCGAUGAAGGCCUUCGGGUUGUAAAGCUCUGUGGGGAGAGAAGAAUAAGGUUCGGUUAAUAGCCGGAGCGAUGACGGUAUCUCCUUAGCAAGCACCGGCUAACUCUG